Acanthosepion pharaonis is the source of this 76-nucleotide non-coding RNA. NCBI's taxonomy places the organism in Eukaryota, Metazoa, Mollusca, Cephalopoda, Sepiida, Sepiidae. The record is from the annotation of a GenBank genome assembly.
CCCGGUUCUCAUAUGAUCACCGAAGUUAAGCAACGUUGAGCCUGGACACUACCUUGAUGGGUGACCACUUGAGAAU